UACGGAGGGGGCAAGCGUUGUUCGGAUUUACUGGGCGUAAAGGGUGUGUAGGCGGUUGCGCAAGUCUAGUGUGAAAUCUUCACCGCUUAACGGGAAGAGGUCACUGGAAACUGCGUAACUCGAGUGUGGUAGAGGCAAGCGGAAUUCCUGGUGUAGCGGUGGAAUGUGUAGAUAUCAGGAAGAACACCUGUGGCGAAGGCGGCUUGCUGGGCCAUCACUGACGCUGAGACACGAAAGCGUGGGGAGCAAACGGG
This 254-nucleotide ribosomal RNA is filed under the name uncultured bacterium. Its description in RNAcentral is "partial 16S ribosomal RNA". It matches the Rfam family "Bacterial small subunit ribosomal RNA", at positions 524 to 776 of the family's 1533-position model. The record is from RNAcentral.